CCUUUAUCUCAACCUCCCAAAACCAAAAUCCUAAACCUUAACCUUUCUGCUCGUCACAGCUUCGUCUUCGAUCAAAUUGAUGCAAUUAUCGAACAUUCUCAAAAACACGAAACACGUCAAGGAAUUCGAGCUUGGUGUGAAUCUAAAAACUCUCCAAACGAAAUUAUCGAACCCGUUUCGCAACCAAUAACAAUAUCUUUGUCUCAUGAAGAGGCAAAAAUGAACAGUGAACUCGCGAAAUUAGUGAAGAAAGAGGUGGAUUUGGUGCAUCUGUGGCCGGAGUGGAUUCAAUUGAUGAAGAUAUUGGUGCAUUAGAAUUAUUUUUAACACAUGAGGAAGAUUGAGGAUAAAAUGGUGCAGGAUUUAGGGUUUGAUACUACCGAGGAUGUACACGAUGAGGGGUUUGAUUUUACUAAGGGUUUUAAGAGUGUUCGUGUUAUGUGUCUCAAUUUUGGUGAGGAUCAUUUUCACUUGUUGAGUUCAAUGACACACUCAACAUUAUGUGGUUAUAUCUCGGCGGUUGAUUCUCCAAACAACUCCUAGAAUCAAGCACUUUGGUAUCCAGAGGAAACCUCUACCCCUUGAACCAACUGUACUACUACGAGAGGCUAACAGGCGGAGGGCUUCACUCUCCGCUGGAAAUGUUUUUGAAAUGUUUGACAGUCGCCAGGGUCCAAUGGAAGGAUGUCACCACAAAAAGUACUCUCAAAUUCGAUGACACGUACUAAUACUUCUCCG
This is a long non-coding RNA of Vicia villosa (hairy vetch), 738 nucleotides long. RefSeq lists it as uncharacterized. The record is from RefSeq and is a predicted model, not a curated record. NCBI's taxonomy places the organism in Eukaryota, Viridiplantae, Streptophyta, Magnoliopsida, Fabales, Fabaceae. The transcript is spliced from 3 exons.